GACAGAGGGGGCAAGCGUUGUUCGGAAUUACUGGGCGUAAAGGGCUCGUAGGCGGCCAACUAAGUCAGACGUGAAAUCCCUCGGCUUAACCGGGGAACUGCGUCUGAUACUGGAUGGCUUGAAUCCGGGAGAGGGAUGCGGAAUUCCAGGUGUAGCGGUGAAAUGCGUAGAUAUCUGGAGGAACACCGGUGGCGAAGGCGGCAUCCUGGACCGGCAUUGACGCUGAGGAGCGAAAGCCAGGGGAGCAAACGGG
Molecule: ribosomal RNA, 253 nt
Filed under: uncultured bacterium
Lineage: Bacteria
Description: partial 16S ribosomal RNA
Rfam family: Bacterial small subunit ribosomal RNA
Source: RNAcentral